This 765-nucleotide ribosomal RNA is filed under the name uncultured bacterium. Its description in RNAcentral is "bacterial SSU rRNA". It matches the Rfam family "Bacterial small subunit ribosomal RNA", at positions 62 to 818 of the family's 1533-position model. The record is from RNAcentral.
UCGAGGGGCAUCGGGAAGAAGCUUGCUUUCUUUGCCGGCGACCGGCGCACGGGUGAGUAACACGUAUCCAACCUGCCCUUUACUCGGGGAUAGCCUUUCGAAAGAAAGAUUAAUACCCGAUAGCAUAAUGAUUCCGCAUGGUUUCAUUAUUAAAGGAUUCCGGUAAAGGAUGGGGAUGCGUUCCAUUAGGUUGUUGGUGAGGUAACGGCCCACCAAGCCUUCGAUGGAUAGGGGUUCUGAGAGGAAGGUCCCCCACAUUGGAACUGAGACACGGUCCAAACUCCUACGGGAGGCAGCAGUGAGGAAUAUUGGUCAAUGGGCGCUAGCCUGAACCAGCCAAGUAGCGUGAAGGAUGAAGGCUCUAUGGGUCGUAAACUUCUUUUAUAUAAGAAUAAAGUGCAGUAUGUAUACUGUUUUGUAUGUAUUAUAUGAAUAAGGAUCGGCUAACUCCGUGCCAGCAGCCGCGGUAAUACGGAGGAUCCGAGCGUUAUCCGGAUUUAUUGGGUUUAAAGGGAGCGUAGGUGGACUGGUAAGUCAGUUGUGAAAGUUUGCGGCUCAACCGUAAAAUUGCAGUUGAUACUGUCAGUCUUGAGUACAGUAGAGGUGGGCGGAAUUCGUGGUGUAGCGGUGAAAUGCUUAGAUAUCACGAAGAACUCCGAUUGCGAAGGCAGCUCACUGGACUGCAACUGACACUGAUGCUCGAAAGUGUGGGUAUCAAACAGGAUUAGAUACCCUGGUAGUCCACACAGUAAACGAUGAAUACUC